RNAcentral lists this non-coding RNA (26 nucleotides) under Rattus norvegicus (Norway rat). Lineage: Eukaryota; Metazoa; Chordata; Mammalia; Rodentia; Muridae. The record is from RNAcentral.
UCCGGAACCCUUAAGGAAAGCCGUCU